AUGCCGUGGUGGGGGCAUGCUGCAAUGUACUCCUGGAAUUUCUCCCAAGCUUUCGGAAUGGCUUCAUCCGACAGCUACUGAAAUCCAGAGAUUUUGCUUCGGAGGGC
Molecule: small nucleolar RNA, 107 nt
Organism: Panicum virgatum (switchgrass)
Lineage: Eukaryota; Viridiplantae; Streptophyta; Magnoliopsida; Poales; Poaceae
Source: RefSeq, a predicted model, not a curated record